This 1168-nucleotide long non-coding RNA is filed under the name Apteryx haastii (Great spotted kiwi). Its description in RNAcentral is "lncRNA (ENSAHAG00000005170.1)". The record is from RNAcentral. Lineage: Eukaryota; Metazoa; Chordata; Aves; Apterygiformes; Apterygidae.
NNNNNACUUAUGCAGUCUCUAUACGUGCUCUCCCUGCGCACCCGGGCACGCUCAUGCACCCCCACACAUGCACCCUCUGCACACACACACACACACACACACACACACGUAUCCACGUGCAUGCUCACGUAUCCCCUGUCCGUACUCACCCCCUGCACACACCUCCGAGCUCAGGGUCCCCCCGGGGGGGGGGGAUUUGCUCCUCCGAUGACCACGCCGCUCGCCGGGAGCCAUGCUGACACCCAGGGCUGCUCCCGUCGCCUCUGCAGCCUCCCUGUGACCCCCCCGCGGGCGCACACCCCCCCGCCGCCCCGGCUGCCCGCCAGCCCUCUCCCCAGCACAGGGCCUCUUUUUUCAUGCCCUUCAUUACUUUUUUGCACCUCCUCUUUGGACACCCCCCGCCCAGGCCCUGGCGAGCGCCGCGGGGGCAGACGGUGUCUCGGUGGCUGCGGAGCCUCCCGGCACCCCCAGGCACCCCAGGGGUGCUGCGACCCCGGGGGGGGGCCAUGGGUGGGCAGGGGGCCGGCCCCAAACACCCUUUAGAAAUGUCAUGGAAGAGGGCUGAAACCCUGAACCCUGCUCAAAACGCCCGCUGGGUCCCUAUGGCCACCUAUAGACACCGGUGCAGACCCACGCAGGAGCGGCCGCACACGCAGGGGCACCAUACGUGUCCCCACAGCCCUGCGCGAGGCUCGUUCGGACACCUAUGGGCGCAGCAUACGCGCGUGGGCACCUCCGUACACACCUGGGUGCUCAUAUCGGUCUGUACAUGCAUGGGCACAGCGGCACGCACAGGGGCGCUUAUACGGAGCCAUAGGUGCUCACGCGGGGCCGUGCACGUACAUCGGCCCCCACGCAGGUCCCUAAGCACACGAGCGUGCCCAUACGCGCGUGAGCACUUAUACGAUCCGUACACCCACCCGGGCGCUCGGAGGGACCCAGGCACCCACGGGCACCCGUGCAAGCCCGUAAGCGCGGGUGCGAGCCCAAGCCCGGAGCAGCCCCCGUGCACCCCCCGAGCGCCCCCGACGCACCCCCCAGCCACGGAGGUUCGGUCAUCGAUCCGGGAAGCCGAACACGGAGGUGUCCGGGGAGGGUUACGGCCGGCUUUCCCCCCGCCUGCGAGCCACGAGCGUGCCUGCUCUCAUCCCGCGGGCAGCCAGCGAGC